AUUUUUCUUUUCUUUUUUCUGGAUAUUCAUAUGCUGUCUAAUUUCUGUGUUUGAAACAAUUCUAGCCGGGAAUUCACACAUCGAGUGAAAUCAAUAUCAAUGGCCAACUUUAGUGCAGAGGAAGUUAGUGCUCUUCAAGAAGGGGGAAAUGAGAUCACUAAACCAGCAAAAGGAUAUAUCCAGUUCGCCUAUGGUGCAUCUUGUUUGAGAUAUAUGGGAACAUUUUCCAACUCUAAGGAGAGAGACAUUCUAGAGCAAAUAGUGAUGGAGCUGCUGAUGAUUCUGCUCAUAAGCAGAGAAAUGCAUUUUCUAGUAGCAUAGGAUCCAUAGAUGGGAAUGCCAUGGAAAUUAAAAGGGGAAAUUCAAGAGGCAGGAUUGAUUUCGAUGCUAUUACUAAACCUUCCCAGAAAAAACUAGUAAUAUCAUCUUCAGCUAGUCAAUCUGUGAUAAUGUCCUCUGAAAAUAAUUUGUUAGCUUUUGACAGUUUAAGGAGGAGAAGAUAUCCCAGGGUGCUUCAGACAGUAAAACAAUGGGGGCUCCAAAUUGUGAGUUCCUGCAGCUACGCCUUUUCCCAUUACAGGCAAUUUGCACACUGAACACAUAGAUAACAUUCCAGCAUUAACAAUUGGUGGUGUUUCUGCCACUGCAUCAAUUUCGCCCUGUGGCAACAAUGCUCCUGCUCCUGCUCCUGCAGUUGCAUCUUCAGGUACAUCAUCAUUAUUACCUGUCAGCGAUGGUGAUUCCUGUAAGGUAAGACCAUAAGAGUUGUAAGGUUCUUGACAGAUGUUCUCUAUUACUUUUUGAUUUCGUUUUUUAAGGUGAUUAGAUUUUAUCCUUUUGCUUUCUGCAUGCUUGCCAUAGUCCUGGAGUACUCCGCUUGGACCCAGUGGCCAAGAGUCAUGGAGUACUCUGACUUUGCAGGCAUCUCAAGUUUUCUCUAAGAAGUCUCCUGAUACUGGUUCUGCUGGUGUGUAACAGUAUCUCCCUUCAGAGAAAGGGUAUAGUGAAAGAACAGAACUUUUAGAGACAUCAAGGAGUUGGGGGUUUUUGGUAGUGAUGGAGCUGUUUCUGACAGCAUAAACACAAAUCAGAGGCUGGGUGGAGGAUUCGCUAUCUAGGCAACCUUGAGUUCUUUCUCUUCCCUUGGAGGAAACUAUUUUGGGUAAAUAUGAGAAACAGGACUAAUCAUAUGAUAAUCUUUUCAGGCAGCAUGUUCUAAUUGUGCCUAAAAUAUCUGAAGAAAUAAACAUGAUUUUCUUGCUUUGUUUGAAGAUGAGUACUGCAAAGUUGCUUUAGAUAACAGAACCUUAGGCUCUCUGUUAAUAACUUCUGGGCAGGAGAAGCUUCAAAUGUACACUUGGCCAUGUAAAUUUGGCACUAAGAAAAAAGAAGAAGAGGGAUUGGAUUGAUUGCUUGGAGAUUCCACAUUCAUAUAUUGGCAUUUAGUUGUAAUCUUGUUACCACAGUUUUGGAGUUAUAUAUAACUCUAUAAAUGUAUAGAGCUAUAUGCUACCUUGUGCCAGAGCAAAUGAUUGUUCAUCGAAUUUAUGUCUGCUUUGAGCAAAUGAUGGCAAUAGAAAGUUGGCAUUCAGGACUGAGUACAAGAACACACAAAUAUGAA
Molecule: RNA transcript, 1621 nt
Organism: Quercus lobata
Lineage: Eukaryota; Viridiplantae; Streptophyta; Magnoliopsida; Fagales; Fagaceae
Exons: 4
Source: RefSeq, a predicted model, not a curated record